This 536-nucleotide ribosomal RNA is filed under the name uncultured bacterium. RNAcentral describes it as "bacterial SSU rRNA". It matches the Rfam family "Bacterial small subunit ribosomal RNA", at positions 169 to 696 of the family's 1533-position model. The record is from RNAcentral.
UCUGAGAUGGUAGGGGUUAAAGGUGGGCCUCUGCGGAAGCAAGCUCAUGCCAGGGGAGGGGGCUGCGGCCUAUCAGGUAGUUGGUGGGGUAAUGGCCCACCAAGCCUAUGACGGGUAGCCGGCCUGAGAGGGUGACCGGCCCGAGGGGCACUGAGACACGGGCCCCACUCCUACGGGAGGCAGCAGGCUAGAAAAUUGGGCAAUGGGGGAAACCCUGACCCAGCGACGCCGCGUGCGGGAAGAAGCCCUUCGGGGUGUAAACCGCUGUCGUGCGGGACGAAGGGCCCAUAGGUGAACAAUCUAUGGGCUUGACGGUACCGCAGGAGGAAGCCCAGGCUAACCUCGUGCCAGCAGCCGCGGUAAUACGGGGUGGGCGAGCGUUGCCCGGAAUUACUGGGUUUAAAGGGGGUGUAGGCGGCCAGGAAAGUCAGGUGUGUAAUCCAACCGCUCAACGGUUGGGCUGCAUCUGAUACUUCCUGGCUAGAGGGCGUUAGAGGAGAGCGGAACUCCCGGUGUAGCGGUGAAAUGCGUAGAUA